Anguilla rostrata (American eel) is the source of this 1098-nucleotide long non-coding RNA. RefSeq lists it as uncharacterized. Lineage: Eukaryota; Metazoa; Chordata; Actinopteri; Anguilliformes; Anguillidae. The record is from RefSeq and is a predicted model, not a curated record. The transcript has 3 exons.
CCGGAUUUAAACCAAAACAUGGCAUUCCCGCAGCGUUCAGCGCUCUAGCCGGAACUCAUUGUUUUCAAUGGAGAAAUCUGUUCCCCAGGGAUGUUCCAGUGCCAAUGAAAUCAUGUGGAUGGCUGAAAAUGCAGGACUUCUGCACAGCAGCGUGGUGACACAAAUGGAAAGGGAGGGGGACAGUCACACGAAGAAACAGAAGCCAACAGAAAAGGCAUGCCACCUGGACACUGACAGAGUGACAUGGAGAGACUGCUGCCAAUGGGAGACUGUGGGUGGGGGCAUGUGGUGAUGGAUGUAUGGCAAGAGAGGACAGAGUGUGAAAAUAACAAAAAUGAAUGUUAAUAACCGGACAGUGAGACUGCAAUCUGAAUUCAAACAAAAAAUGCGUUCAAUGGAUUCUGUGGAUGUCAUUGUGACUUAAAAGUAAAGCUGAUUGCCCUUCCCUGGUUUCAAGAUCAUCCCUGAGGAACAGAUCCAGUUUGGUGAAGGGGCCAAGAUAUAUGCACUGGCCGGAUUACAUCAUAAAUAGACAAACACUCCCACUGCAGCACCAUGCCCCCCUUUCCCGAGAUCCCAGAUGAUCAUGAGUGCCCUUGACAGGCUCAUCCAAUCAUAGCUGGUGGGAUAACCAAUGACCCAUUUCUACAUUUUCUUAAUUUGCUGAGCAGAUGUUUACCCAGAGUAAUUAAAAGUUCAUUAUCUUUUUGCAUGUGUUGCCAUCUGCAUAUCUGUAUAUUUUACGGAAAGCAAUUCAGGUUCAGCACAAAGUUCAAGGUAGCAGCGCGCUGACAAGAACUUUGAACCCGAAAUCUUUGGGUUUUGAGUCUGGUUCCUGAAUAGAUACAGCAACAUACUGGUUGUUGGUUGUGCAUUUCAGAUCGAAGCUAAAACCACCAAUUGGAUUGGCGAGGGAGCUUGUCAAUUUCCUGGCAGAAUUUUUCCAUUUACGAUGCGGAGAGCUGGAACAAAGGCUAUUCCUGCUUCCGGCUAAUUCAGAGACCAAUAAGCCAGACAAGACCAAAGGAAACUUGUGUGGCACGUCUCUGGUGCUGCCGCCACCACAGCACAGCCAUUAUUGUUCACACAGAUAUUCCA